UUACUCGCCACUCUCACUCGACUAGCCUGUGGGGCGCAACCCCCCUUCUCUUCUUGGACUUCGAGAGUGUGGGAGCCUCGCGGUGAUGAGAGGCCCUCCAG
This is a long non-coding RNA of Loxodonta africana (African savanna elephant), 101 nucleotides long. It matches the Rfam family "WT1 antisense RNA conserved region 1". NCBI's taxonomy places the organism in Eukaryota, Metazoa, Chordata, Mammalia, Proboscidea, Elephantidae. The record is from Rfam.